Molecule: long non-coding RNA, 295 nt
Organism: Neogale vison (American mink)
Lineage: Eukaryota; Metazoa; Chordata; Mammalia; Carnivora; Mustelidae
Exons: 4
Source: RefSeq, a predicted model, not a curated record
UUUUCCUCAUGAAGAUGUUUUCUAUUCCCUAACAUUUUGGAUGCUGGAAAUUCAUCCUCUUCCUCAUUUUGUGGCUCACAACUUUUUGAGGUGUUGCCAGACAACUAAAGAAUUUAAUAAGCCCACUGCAUGCCUUAAAAAGGCUAGGAAAAAGCCAUGAGAUGUCUGCCAGAUGCCUAAGGAAUAAAACAAGAAGGCUACAAUUCAUUUCAUGAAAGCACAACAUACCAUGCUCUGAACUAAUUUGGUGGCAAAACGUGACUGGAAGGGGUAUGAGUUUUAUACAGGAGCCGGA